UGCUCUCGGGUGACGAGUGGCGGACGGGUGAGUAAUGUCUGGGAAACUGCCCGAUGGAGGGGGAUAACUACUGGAAACGGUAGCUAAUACCGCAUAACGUCGCAAGACCAAAGAGGGGGACCUUCGGGCCUCUUGCCAUCGGAUGUGCCCAGAUGGGAUUAGCUUGUAGGUGAGGUAACGGCUCACCUAGGCGACGAUCCCUAGCUGGUCUGAGAGGAUGACCAGCCACACUGGAACUGAGACACGGUCCAGACUCCUACGGGAGGCAGCAGUGGGGAAUAUUGCACAAUGGGCGCAAGCCUGAUGCAGCCAUGCCGCGUGUAUGAAGAAGGCCUUCGGGUUGUAAAGUACUUUCAGCGGGGAGGAAGGGAGUGAGGUUAAUAACCUUAUUCAUUGACGUUACCCGCAGAAGAAGCACCGGCUAACUCCGUGCCAGCAGCCGCGGUAAUACGGAGGGUGCAAGCGUUAAUCGGAAUUACUGGGCGUAAAGCGCACGCAGGCGGUCUGUCAAGUCGGAUGUGAAAUCCCCGGGCUCAACCUGGGAACUGCAUUCGAAACUGGCAGGCUGGAGUCUUGUAGAGGGGGGUAGAAUUCCAGGUGUAGCGGUGAAAUGCGUAGAGAUCUGGAGGAAUACCGGUGGCGAAGGCGGCCCCCUGGACAAAGACUGACGCUCAGGUGCGAAAGCGUGGGGAGCAAACAGGAGUAGAUACCCUGGUAGUCCACGCUGUAAACGAUGUCGACUUG
This 744-nucleotide ribosomal RNA is filed under the name Klebsiella sp. RNAcentral describes it as "bacterial SSU rRNA". It matches the Rfam family "Bacterial small subunit ribosomal RNA", at positions 79 to 819 of the family's 1533-position model. Lineage: Bacteria; Pseudomonadati; Pseudomonadota; Gammaproteobacteria; Enterobacterales; Enterobacteriaceae. The record is from RNAcentral.